UACGUAGGGGGCAAGCGUUGUCCGGAUUCAUUGGGCGUAAAGAGCUCGUAGGCGGUUCGGCAAGUCGGGUGUGAAAACUCCAGGCUCAACCUGGAGACGCCACCCGAUACUGCUGUGACUUGAGUCCGGUAGGGGACCACGGAAUUCCUGGUGUAGCGGUGAAAUGCGUAGAGAUCAGGAGGAACACCCAUGGCGAAGGCAGCGCUCUGGUCGGCAUCUGACGCUGAGAGGCGAAAGCGUGGGGAGCGAACGGG
Molecule: ribosomal RNA, 254 nt
Filed under: uncultured bacterium
Lineage: Bacteria
Description: partial 16S ribosomal RNA
Rfam family: Bacterial small subunit ribosomal RNA
Source: RNAcentral